Molecule: long non-coding RNA, 607 nt
Organism: Magallana angulata
Lineage: Eukaryota; Metazoa; Mollusca; Bivalvia; Ostreida; Ostreidae
Exons: 4
Source: RefSeq, a predicted model, not a curated record
GGAUAUCACCAAAGAUGACGAGUCAUCAUUAAAGAGGAAGGCAAACAGUUCCAGUAAAUCGUGACAAGAAAAUUACCGUCCCCUGAAUGAAGAUGGUGUGUGGUCUGAGGGAGUAGUUCACAGAGAGAAACCUGUGUGCAAUAAACAGUCUGGAGGAGGCUAAAGAGGGACAACUCCGCUUGUCCUUAAAAUGGAGAGAUGAACUACUUUCUGCUGGAGAUUUACUUUUCCCUGUUUGUACAACAGAGUGAAUGACUGGCCAGCUGUAAACAUAGUCAAUAUGGAAACUGGCUAAGAUACCGCUAAAUCUGUAGCAGAAAUAGUCAUUCUUUUAUUUAUUUUCCAGAUUUCUAUCAAAGAGACAGACUAAUUUAUAUUCUAUGUACAUGCUUGUUCAAACCAUUCAUACAAAGGUGGAUCAAAUCUGUAAUGGCACACAGAGAUAGAGUUUGAUGAAAGAAGGGAUGUAGGGCUUGAAAUUUAAAGUUAUAACCAGAGAAGAUUUUUUUUACCUUAUACAGUCAGAGGCACAUCACGUGUCCACAUAGGCACAUAUCAUGCCCACAGACGCACAUCACGCACACACAGAAGAGGGACAACUGCGUCC